CGCGGUCGCCCCAGCCGCCCGGCAGCCGCCGACCCCCGGCCGGGCCCUGGACUCGCCGCGGUAGUGCCUUCCCAAACAGAGCUGCUGGAAUUACAAUCUUUUGUUGAGCCUCAUGUAACGGAAAAGUCUCCGAUUACUAUCACUUGAAAAGGCUAGCGCGCCCACGGGACGGCCUGGAGAGUGAAGAGCCCCAAGGGUCCCGGGCCCGCGCGGCUCAUUCACUCUCUAGCGUCUGCUGAGGUAACGCGGCCCGCACCUGGGCGCGCGCGACUGCCCCAGUGCGCUGGCGCCAACCACGCGGCGGCGGCCCGGCGAGCCACCGGGAAGAAGUCAGACAAAGUCACUCUCAGGGCGCUGUGCAGCGCCACAGCCAGGGGAGGUGUAAGUUCGGGCUCAGUGAAGAAUCUCGGCUGACUUACGCUGCCAUCAGGGGAUAUGAAGGCGGUGGUUUCCUGGAAUAACACGGGCCUAUGAUAGGAAUUCGACGCAAGGAAGAUUUAUGGGAGCACCGAUUUGCAAGGCAUUGUGGGAAAAAGGUACACAGCUGUCUCAACAAAGAGGAACAGAGCACUAAAGCUAAAUAACCCCCAUGAAGGACCAACCCUCUUCCGGCAGUCCCCAAAUGAAGAGCAAUUGUAUUCCUUUAAUUCAGUCAUAAAUCAACUCUCAAUUCUAUGAGAUUUUUCACAGAAGAACGGAGCGCCUCAAAAGUGGAUCAAGGCAGAAAUGGAUGUGGAAAUUAUCAUCCUGUACCUUUGAGGUAAAGAGGCUUCUACAGCUCUGGCAUGAGCUACCACAGGUCAUAACCAUUAGGAAAGAAACUGGAAUGUUACCAUGCCAGGCUUUGUAAGUAUUCUGUUAGUUCUCCUCUAUAUUGAUUAAAGUUCGUAAAGUCAAUACCUGGAACAGCCCAGAGGGAAAAUACUUUACCUGUUCUCUUACUUCCCAAGAUACCACAUUUAUUAUCUAAGUCGCACAGGUUAUCAGAUAAACUUGCAGGUUUUUGUUUUAUGAAGAAACAAUAAUCCCCAGGCUACUUUCCAGCAUCCUCUACUGUUACUCUACAAAAUCUUCCUUGGUGACAUCAUCCACUUCUCUGUCUUUGCUGGUUACCCGGUGCUGACAGCUGCUCCCUGCAAGGUGCAGGUGUCUCCUAACAAUCACUAACUCCGCCUGUCGAACACCGAACUCACAGCCCCGACCUCUACGCCCUGCAUCUCCUCCACCACUCCCUCGCUGAAUGGCAUCCCCACUUCUCCUAGCCGCCCCAGACACAAACCUUCGCAGUCACCUUUCAUUUCUCCCUCUCGCUCCACAGGGUGGCCCUAAGGUAACUCGUACCUCCUGAAAAUCUCAUGAGUUAGUUCCAGCAGGAGUUUCUCAUUCCAGCUCCUCAUCUCUCAUUGUAAUCCCUAAUCCAUUCCCCUACAAUGCUACCAGAGGGACCGUGCUAAAAUGUAAUUCCAGUUAUUUUAUCCCCCUAAAAACUAAAAUCUACCAAAUGGCUCCCAAUGCCAUCAGAAUAAUGCCAAGAAGCCUUAGGAGAGAAAAUGAGAUUCUUCACGAGGACCUUGCCCAUCUCUCUAGCCUGGUCCCA
Molecule: long non-coding RNA, 1597 nt
Filed under: Homo sapiens (human)
Lineage: Eukaryota; Metazoa; Chordata; Mammalia; Primates; Hominidae
Description: HSALNT0302541
Source: RNAcentral